Molecule: ribosomal RNA, 1974 nt
Filed under: human metagenome
Description: bacterial LSU rRNA
Rfam family: Bacterial large subunit ribosomal RNA
Source: RNAcentral
UCAAGCUAAUAAGAGCACAGGGUGGAUGCCCAGGCACCAAACGCCGACGAAAGACGUGGCAAGCUGCGAAAAGUCACGGGGAACCGCAAGCAGGUAUUGAUCCGUGAACGUCUGAAUGGGGAAACCCGGCGGGUUAACAGCCCGUCACUAUUAACUGAAUCAAUAGGUUAAUAGGGGGAACGCGGGGAACUGAAACAUCUCAGUACCCGUAGGAAGAGAAAAUAAAGAAUGAUUUCCUAAGUAGCGGCGAGCGAACGGGAAAGAGGCCAAACCGAAGGGCUUGCUCUUCGGGGUUGUGGAUCAGCAAAAAGGACGGAAGACCUUAGCAGAAGAGGAUUGGAAAGUCCCGCCAGAGAGGGUAAAAGCCCCUUACGCGAAAAGGUCAAACGACGAGCUGACACCAGAGUACCGCAGGACACGAGAAAUCCGGUGGGAAGCCGGGAGGACCACCUCCCAAGCCUAAAUACGAAUUGGUGACCGAUAGCGCAUAGUACCGUGAGGGAAAGGUGAAAAGAACCCCGGGAGGGGAGUGAAAAAGAACCUGAAACCCUGUGUUUACAAGCAGUGAAAGUGCGAGCAAGGCACGAUCACGUACUUUUUGUAGAACGGACCGGCGAGUUACGUUAUGCAGCAAGGUUAAGAACUGAAGGUUCGGAGCCGAAGCGAAAGCGAGUCUGAAAAGGGCGAUAGUUGCAUGACGUAGACCCGAAACCGGGUGACCUAUCCAUGAGCAGGUUGAAGUGGAGGUAAAGCUCCAUGGAGGACCGAACCAGACGUCUGUUGAAAAAGGCGGGGAUGACUUGUGGAUAGGGGAGAAAUUCCAAUCGAACCCGGAGAUAGCUGGUUCUCCUCGAAAUAGCUUUAGGGCUAGCCUCAUGGAUCAUUGAUGGGGGUAGAGCACUGAAUGUGCGCGGGGGCCACAAAGCCUACCAAACGCUAUCAAACUUCGAAUACCAUACAAUGCAGACCAUGGGAGUCAGUCCGCGAGAGAUAAGUUCCGCGGGCAAAAGGGGAACACCCCAGAUCAACCGCUAAGGUCCCCAAGUUCACGUUAAGUGGAGAAGGAUGUGGAAUUGCACAGACAACCAGGAUGUUGGCUCAGAAGCAGCCACACAUUUAAAGAGUGCGUAAUAGCUCACUGGUCGAGUGAUUGUGCGCCGAAGAUGUCCGGGGCUAAACGUGACACCGAAGCGAUGGGUGCAUCUGAAGAAGAUGCGCGGUAGAGGAGCAAUGUGCAGAGGCAGAAGCCGUAUCGAGAGGCACGGUGGACACUGCACAAGAGAGAAUGCCGGUAUGAGUAGCGAGAGGCAUGCGAGAAACAUGCCCGUCGAAAGCCCAAGGUUUCCUGGGGAAGGUUCAUCCGCCCAGGGUAAGUCGGGGCCUAAGCCGAGGACGGAAGUCGUAGGCGAUGGACAGCAGGUGUAGAUUCCUGCACUACCGAUGGAAUGAAGCAGUGACACAGAAGGAUAACUCGAGCAGGGUGAUGGUCAACCCUGUGCAAGCAUCAAGGUUGGGUUGUAGUGAAGUACGCAACCCUACAAGCUGAGGUGUGAUGCGGACCGAAAUUUCAGUAGGGAAGCGAGUGAGUUCACGCUGGCGAGAAAAGCUGCUAGUACAUCCAAAGGUACCCGUACCGGAAACCGACGCAGGUGGGCGAGGAGAGAAUCCUGAGACGAACGGGAGAACCCUUGUUAAGGAACUCGGCAAAAUGACCCCGUAACUUCGGGAUAAGGGGUGCCUGCGAGAGCAGGCCGCAGAGAAUAGUCACAAGCGACUGUUUAGCAAAAACACAGGUAUCUGCGAAAGCGAGAGCUGACGUAUAGGUGCUGACACCUGCCCGGUGCUGGAAGGUUAAGGGAACAUGUUAGAGCAAUCGAAGCAUCGAACCGAAGCCCCAGUAAACGGCGGCCGUAACUAUAACGGUCCUAAGGUAGCGAAAUUCCUUGUCGGGUAAGUUCCGACCCGCACGAAUGG